GGCCGCCUGGCGAAAUGGCAUCGCGUCUGACUACGAUUCGUUCGACAUCAGGAGAUUGCAGGUUCGACCCCUGCGGUGGUCA
Molecule: transfer RNA, 82 nt
Filed under: Sphaerobolus stellatus SS14
Lineage: Eukaryota; Fungi; Basidiomycota; Agaricomycetes; Geastrales; Sphaerobolaceae
Rfam family: tRNA
About the family: Transfer RNA (tRNA) molecules are approximately 80 nucleotides in length. Their secondary structure includes four short double-helical elements and three loops (D, anti-codon, and T loops).
Source: Rfam by way of RNAcentral